CGGCCCGUAGCUCAGCGGCGAGAGCGUCCGGCUGUAGACCGGGAGGUCCCGGGUUCAAAUCCCGGCGGGCCGA
Molecule: transfer RNA, 73 nt
Filed under: Thermoproteus sp.
Lineage: Archaea; Thermoproteati; Thermoproteota; Thermoprotei; Thermoproteales; Thermoproteaceae
Description: tRNA-Tyr
Rfam family: tRNA
About the family: Transfer RNA (tRNA) molecules are approximately 80 nucleotides in length.
Source: RNAcentral